This is a long non-coding RNA of Chenopodium quinoa (quinoa), 262 nucleotides long. RefSeq lists it as uncharacterized. The transcript has 3 exons. NCBI's taxonomy places the organism in Eukaryota, Viridiplantae, Streptophyta, Magnoliopsida, Caryophyllales, Amaranthaceae. The record is from RefSeq and is a predicted model, not a curated record.
AUUACUUCUUUAACUUUUAUGUGCUUUGGCAGGUUUGCAUUUAAAUUUCGAUAAUUUUGUUUUCAUGCUUAAAAAAAAUGGCUGAAAAAUCAUAAAUUAUAAGUUACUCGAUAAUAUAGAAAUAGCAAUGAGUAAAAUUUAUGUGAUACAAAAAAAUCAUCCAAUAUAAAAUUGGAAAAAAAAAAUUAUUAUAAUUUACUAAAAUUUGCAAUUAUAUUACAUGAACAACUAAACAAGGCUUUAGUACUCAAUUUUCUUCCUC